GACGAACGCUGGCGGCGUGCUUAACACAUGCAAGUCGAACGGAAAGGCCCUGCUUGCAGGGUACUCGAGUGGCGAACGGGUGAGUAACACGUGGGCGAUCUGCCCUGCACUUCGGGAUAAGCCUGGGAAACUGGGUCUAAUACCGGAUAGGAGCCAUUUUUAGUGUGAUGGUUGGAAAGUUUUUUCGGUGUAGGAUGAGCUCGCGGCCUAUCAGCUUGUUGGUGGGGUAAUGGCCUACCAAGGCGGCGACGGGUAGCCGGCCUGAGAGGGUGGACGGCCACAUUGGGACUGAGAUACGGCCCAGACUCCUACGGGAGGCAGCAGUGGGGAAUAUUGCACAAUGGGCGCAAGCCUGAUGCAGCGACGCCGCGUGGGGGAUGACGGCCUUCGGGUUGUAAACUCCUUUCGCUAGGGACGAAGCUUUUUGUGACGGUACCUAGAGAAGAAGCACCGGCUAACUACGUG
This 465-nucleotide ribosomal RNA is filed under the name uncultured bacterium. RNAcentral describes it as "partial 16S ribosomal RNA". It matches the Rfam family "Bacterial small subunit ribosomal RNA", at positions 28 to 507 of the family's 1533-position model. The record is from RNAcentral.